GAUGAAGAACGUAGCGAAAUGCGAUACUUGGUGUGAAUUGCAAAAUCCCGUGAACCAUCGAGUUGCAGCUUGGGGUGAAUGUUGGCCUCCCGUGAGCUUUGUCUCACGGUUGGUUGAAAAUCGAGUGCAUGGUGUCGGGUGUACCAUGAUGGAUGGUGGUUGAGUGAUGAUGCUCGAGACCAAUCAUGGGUAACUCCACCAGAAUUGGGCUCGGUGACCCACAUGCGUCCCUUGGAUGCUCCCUAAGGAGACCUCAGGUCAGGCGGGGCUACCCGCUGAGUUUAAGCAUAUCAAUAAGCGGAGGA
This 305-nucleotide unclassified non-coding RNA is filed under the name soil metagenome. RNAcentral describes it as "partial contains internal transcribed spacer 2 and large subunit ribosomal RNA". The stretch from base 249 to 305 matches the Rfam family "Eukaryotic large subunit ribosomal RNA", at positions 1 to 57 of the family's 3401-position model. The record is from RNAcentral.